This 449-nucleotide ribosomal RNA is filed under the name uncultured bacterium. Its description in RNAcentral is "partial 16S ribosomal RNA". It matches the Rfam family "Bacterial small subunit ribosomal RNA", at positions 29 to 523 of the family's 1533-position model. The record is from RNAcentral.
AAUGAACGCUGGCGGCAUGCCUAACACAUGCAAGUCGAACGAAGGCUUCGGCCUUAGUGGCGCACGGGUGCGUAACGCGUGGGAAUCUGCCCUCAGGUUCGGAAUAACAGCGAGAAAUUGCUGCUAAUACCGGAUGAUAUCGAGAGAUCAAAGAUUUAUCGCCUGAGGAUUAGUCCGCGUAGGAUUAGCUAGUUGGUGUGGUAAAGGCGCACCACGGCGACGAUCCUUAGCUGGUCUGAGAGGAUGAUCAGCCACACUGGGACUGAGACACGGCCCAGACUCCUACGGGAGGCAGCAGUGGGGAAUAUUGGACAAUGGGCGAAAGCCUGAUCCAGCAAUGCCGGGUGAGUGAUGAAGGCCUUAGGGUUGUAAAGCUCUUUUACCCGGGAAGAUAAUGACAGUACCGGGAGAAUAAGCUCCGGCUAACUCCGUGCCAGCCGCCGCCGUAA